UCCUAGAAGCCCUGUGGUUGGACGUUUUAUUGCUCUCUCUCUCUUGCUCUCCUGAUCUCUCUCUCCCUCUCUCCUCCUCUCUCGCUGUCUCUCCUUCAGUCUCUCAGUCCCUCUUCAUCCGCCCGUGAGUUUGUUUGCCUUGGCGAGUACAACAACGGGCUCCGAUCAGUGGCUUUCCUAUCUUCGUUUUCUUCUUCUUUUUUUGUUUUUUUUUAUCAAUGAGUGAGCUGUGCCUGCAUUCUCUACCACCUGGAAGACUGCAUCUCCAGGACUGGAAGGACCGGCAGGCUGGCUGGCUGGCUGGCUGGUUGGCUUACUGACUGUUUGACUGACAGACUCUGUGGGUAUUUGGUACUUUGGGGCUGUGGCGUCCAGCACAGAGGCUGAGACUGAAGGUAUACAUGGGGGUAACGGCUGUUUCACUGUACUGGCGACGGCAGUAGCAGCACUAUCUCCUCAGUGCUCCCUGCUCUCACUAGAACAGUAACCCACAUGAAUCAAGCACUGACCGGGACAGCACGGCGGUGUCGGCAGCAGCUGCAGCCUUAACGAUCCCAGUCUUCUCCUCGCAGGCGAGACGACUGACUCCUCGGCUUUGUGCACAGUGGGAGUGAAUCUCUCUCUCAGAAGGAACAGGAAUUAAAUGGGCACUCAUUAUGCCUGGAUUUGCAUCAGUAUAAGCGGAUAGCCCACAGUGGAGUGCAAUGGAAUGAAUGGAAUUCGGAGGAAAGGAGAGGUCUGAUUGGUGCCUGCAGAACACAUCUGACAUGGAAGGCCCCACCUGCCCCAUCCUCGGGCAGCAUGCCAUCUUCAAUCAAUCACUCAGCUCAUAGAGAACAUGACAUCACUCAGGCUCACACCACUAUUGAGGACCUCUGAGUUCCCCUGCUGCUGUCCCCAAUGACCUCUGUUCUCUUCCUCCCCCUCCUUCUCUGUGACUCUCUUCGGUGACGGGUAUUCUUGGGUGGAUAAUACGGAUCACGUUGUUAUUGCUUAAGAAUACGCGUAGUUGAGGAGAGUCCUCUCGACACUGACUUGGAGGAGCUAAAGGAGCUAACGUCCCGCUGCAUGAGCCAAAGUAGAGCCAGGAUGACUGCCUGGUUUCCAUAUCCAGGACCAUUUAUUAAGCAACUAGAAAGAUUAACAUAACCUAACUACUUUACUGGGCUUUCAGCUCUGCCCAGCCCCUAUGGACGCUAGCAGCAAAGAAAGACAGAGAGAGAGAGAGACAGAAGCUUAUUAAACUUUUACAAUUACCUCUCCCGUGAUGUUUUUUCGUAGUAGGCUAUAUCAUAAUAUUGUAAUUACUGUAAUAUGAUCUGAUUACCCAUUCUACUGAAUGUUGUGUCUUCUGUUGUGUCGACUCUACCAGUGUGAGUACUUAACAUUUUCUACAAUUUAUUCAUUUCGGCUUCAGGGUGAAACAGGCUAAUUUUCACUUUAGGGAGUUGUGUAUUGUUCUGCUGGCUUGCCUGGUGCAGUAAUAGAGAUUUGCUUUGGUCCUAAAAAUACGCAACAUUUAGCUUGCAUACAUAUAGAUUUUGUGGGAACACAGUUUCUGGCCUAAGGGCUACUUCCCAGAGAUGUCAAGAUGACCAUAUUGCCUGUGGAUACCUUAUUGAGAGUGAAAUAGAAUAUAUUGGGAGAAGGAGAAACUAUGUGAGCACAACUGAAUUCUACCUCAGUGCUGUGUAUCAAUACAACCCUGUAAAUCCAUUACAGAGAGGUAGUUGUUUGUGAUCUCAGAGUAAAUAUCAACAAUACGCAGAGAAACUGUGCUGGUACAUUAUUCCACAACCUAUCGCCAUGCAGACCCUCCCUCUGAAGAUCAAUUCUACAAGCCCAGUAAAACCAUUCCCCGACUCAUUCCCCAAUGCGUUAGCGACAAAGGGACAUUCUCAUCCAAAACGAUUUGCACAUCAAGAAGAGUCAUUACAUUUGAAUGAUGUGGGGAAACGUGCCUCUCUUAGCUUACACUGGUGGAAAUCAAUGAGGCCUGCAUUACAGUGUUAUUGUGACAGUCAGUCUGGUGAAUCAUGCUGUUAAAUGUUUUGCCGUUCGACAAAUCAUUCACCGACUCUUACCAAAUUGGCCGGAGAGCUUACGUUUGGUUGCAUUAGAUGAUAUCAAAUUAAAUAAAUGGAAGAAUUGAAGUUCCUCUCAAAAUGUCCCUAUAAUGACAUCUCUUGAAUCUGCUGUGCAUCUAAUGUUCCUAUCAUCUGAAGCUUGACUGAAAAGAUAAGGCAUGUCUGCUCUAGCCUCUAAUGAAUCUAUUUGUACUGUCAUAAUUGGAUCGUACCACUAGGGGAGCCCUGUAGCUGACAGUCAGAUAAUUAACGCAAUUAACUGUUUAAAAACAAAAAUCUUUAUAAGGAGUGUUCCUUUAGCAGCACUACUUGUGAAUCUGCACUGCUAGUAAGGCUAUGUGUUUGACAGUACAAAUGGGCAUGCUUUUGACAAUCUAUUAAUUCAGUUUAUGACAUUUUGAACAUCAUAUUGAGUCAUUGAUCUGAUAUUUUUGUUAAUUGAUUCAUUGAUUGUAUCUAUUUUUCUGACAUGUUGAAAACACAGACAAUCUGUAAAAUCUUAUGGAUCGAAAACUAUAUGACAAACAAUAAACAAACAUUUUUGAAAUA
Molecule: long non-coding RNA, 2636 nt
Organism: Coregonus clupeaformis (lake whitefish)
Lineage: Eukaryota; Metazoa; Chordata; Actinopteri; Salmoniformes; Salmonidae
Exons: 3
Source: RefSeq, a predicted model, not a curated record